This 633-nucleotide ribosomal RNA is filed under the name Triticum aestivum (bread wheat). Its description in RNAcentral is "partial small subunit ribosomal RNA". The record is from RNAcentral. Lineage: Eukaryota; Viridiplantae; Streptophyta; Magnoliopsida; Poales; Poaceae.
AUGUUCAGCUUUUCCUGUAUUGUCGUCCUAGCCCUAGGCAGUAGAAGCUGUAGUUGCUUGCAGUUUACUUAUCCCAACUUCAACGCAAUCAAGAUGGAUGAUUUCACCUUCAGCCCAGGCUCAACAAUUGCAGAUGGCGCCUUGCAGAUCACCCCAAGUACCGGAAACAUGCGCCACCGGUCGGGGAGAGUGGUUUAUGCAAGGGAAACCCUCAAGCUGUGGAACAACAAGCGCAUGGCGCCCACCUCGUUCAGGACAGAUUUCCUGCUCAACAUCCUCCCCGGUCAGAAUGGGGCUGGAGAAGGUAUGGCAUUUGUUCUCACAAACAAUCCAUCGUUGCCCAACAAAAGCAGUGGCCAAUGGCUUGGCAUAUGUAAUGCCACGACAGAUGGCACAAAGACGGAUCCAGUAGUAGCUGUCGAGUUUGACACGAGGAGGAGCUAUGAGGAUGACCUUGACGCCAACCAUAUCGGCAUCGACAUCAACAGCAUCAAAUCUAUUCGGCAGUACCCGCUUAGUAAUGUUUCCAUCAUCUUCUCAAGUGGGUCUGAUGUAUGGGUCAGUAUUAGGUACCACGGCACAUCGAAAUUGUUUCAAGUAUUUCUAGUCCAACACAGCAUUCGUGGGCGGUAG